Molecule: ribosomal RNA, 467 nt
Filed under: uncultured bacterium
Lineage: Bacteria
Description: partial 16S ribosomal RNA
Rfam family: Bacterial small subunit ribosomal RNA
Source: RNAcentral
GACGAACGCUGGCGGCGUGCUUAACACAUGCAAGUCGAACGGAAAGGCCCUGCUUUUGUGGGGUGCUCGAGUGGCGAACGGGUGAGUAACACGUGAGUAACCUGCCCUUGACUUUGGGAUAACUUCAGGAAACUGGGGCUAAUACCGGAUAGGAGCUCCUGCUGCAUGGUGGGGGUUGGAAAGUUUCGGCGGUUGGGGAUGGACUCGCGGCUUAUCAGCUUGUUGGUGGGGUAGUGGCUUACCAAGGGUUUGACGGGUAGCCGGCCUGAGAGGGUGACCGGCCACAUUGGGACUGAGAUACGGCCCAGACUCCUACGGGAGGCAGGAGUGGGGAAUAUUGCACAGUGGGCGGAAGCCUGAUGCAGCAACGCCGCGUGCGGGAUGACGGCCUUCGGGUUGUAAACCGCUUUCGCCUGUGACGAAGCGUGAGUGACGGUAAUGGGUAAAGAAGCACCGGCUAACUACGU